This 253-nucleotide ribosomal RNA is filed under the name uncultured bacterium. RNAcentral describes it as "partial 16S ribosomal RNA". It matches the Rfam family "Bacterial small subunit ribosomal RNA", at positions 524 to 776 of the family's 1533-position model. The record is from RNAcentral.
UACGGAGGGUGCAAGCGUUAAUCGGAAUUACUGGGCGUAAAGCGCACGCAGGCGGUUGGUUAAGUCAGAUGUGAAAUCCCCGGGCUCAACCCGGGAACUGCAUUUGAAACUGGCCAGCUUGAGUCUCGUAGAGGGAGGUAGAAUUCCAGGUGUAGCGGUGAAAUGCGUAGAGAUCUGGAGGAAUACCGGUGGCGAAGGCGGCCUCCUGGACGAAGACUGACGCUCAGGUGCGAAAGCGUGGGGAGCAAACAGG